GACGUAGGGCGCGAGCGUUGUCCGGAUUUAUUGGGCGUAAAGAGCUCGUAGGCGGCUUGUUGCGUCGACUGUGAAAACCCGCGGCUUAACUGCGGGCUUGCAGUUGAUACGGGCAGGCUAGAGUUCGGUAGGGGAGACUGGAAUUCCUGGUGUAGCGGUGAAAUGCGCAGAUAUCAGGAGGAACACCGGUGGCGAAGGCGGGUCCCUGGACAACACCUGACACUGAGGCACGAAAGCUAGGGGAGCAAACAGG
This 253-nucleotide ribosomal RNA is filed under the name uncultured bacterium. RNAcentral's name for it is "partial 16S ribosomal RNA". It matches the Rfam family "Bacterial small subunit ribosomal RNA", at positions 524 to 776 of the family's 1533-position model. The record is from RNAcentral.